UACGUAGGUGGCAAGCGUUGUCCGGAAUUAUUGGGCGUAAAGAGCUCGUAGGCGGUUAGUCGCGUCUGCUGUGAAAACUCGGGGCUUAACUCCGGGCCUGCAGUGGGUACGGGCUGACUAGAGUGCGGUAGGGGAGACUGGAAUUCCUGGUGUAGCGGUGAAAUGCGCAGAUAUCAGGAGGAACACCAGUGGCGAAGGCGGCUCUCUGGGCCUUUCCUGACGCUGAGACGCGAAAGCGUGGGGAGCGAACCGG
Molecule: ribosomal RNA, 253 nt
Filed under: uncultured bacterium
Lineage: Bacteria
Description: partial 16S ribosomal RNA
Rfam family: Bacterial small subunit ribosomal RNA
Source: RNAcentral